Molecule: ribosomal RNA, 253 nt
Filed under: uncultured bacterium
Lineage: Bacteria
Description: partial 16S ribosomal RNA
Rfam family: Bacterial small subunit ribosomal RNA
Source: RNAcentral
GACGAGCCACACAAACGUUAUUCGGAAUUACUGGGCUUAAAGGGUGCGUAGGCUGCGCGGAAAGUUGGGUGUGAAAUCCCUCGGCUCAACCGAGGAACUGCGCCCAAAACUGCCGUGCUCGAGGAAGAUAGAGGUAAGCGGAACUUACGGUGGAGCGGUGAAAUGCGUUGAUAUCGUAAGGAACACCUGUGGCGAAAGCGGCUUACUGGGUCUUUUCUGACGCUGAUGCACGAAAGCUAGGGGAGCAAACGGG